Non-coding RNA from Meleagris gallopavo (turkey), 4420 nucleotides. NCBI's taxonomy places the organism in Eukaryota, Metazoa, Chordata, Aves, Galliformes, Phasianidae. The record is from RefSeq and is a predicted model, not a curated record.
GCGCUGCUGGGGUGGCCGACCUGAGAGGGCGGUUCAGCGUGUCGAGACCGUGCACGCCAAGCCUUCGCUUGGCCCUUCUUUCUUUCCUUUUGGAGGAAAGCGGUAGCGCAAGAGUCGUCAUUUCUGCAACCGACUUCCAUCCAGGAUCGGAGGAGAAACAAGCCUUGGCACGAGGAUGACUUCUAAAAUUGAGGAACUACAUCAGUACCUCAUUAGGCAUCAUCAGAAAAGGCUGGAAGCUGCGACUUAGUUGCUUGCUCGUUACAGUGAAGAAUUACUGCCUGCCCGCUGUAUGGACAAUCCCACUGCCUGACUUGGCUCAGUUCCCCUGCAGUCAGUGUAAAAGUCGUGGUAACUUCACUGGGUGCAGGAUUAAGCACGAGUACAGGGGUGCAGAUGUUGCUUUUUUCUUGCAGAUAUGCACACACAGUGAUUCUGAGCAGUCAGAAAAUCUGUGCAAGUGCGAAGCAGUGCGACAUACAGUAGCAUCCUUUAUGCUUUUUCAGGAACUAAGCUGUGUAGCCUCGCAGAACCACAUGCCUCAAAGCAUUUACAGCUGUGAUCUGACUGCCAGAGUUUUUUUGAUAGGAGUGCUGAGAUGCUUAUUUAUGUAUUGAGCUACAGUAGGACCAAACAUUUCCAGUGCCCUGUAAAUACCUGUAGGACAGUCUUAGAAGAAGAAAAUUUCGGAUUUCGGGAAAUACAGAAGGCACAGCUAGCAUCUUGCUGUUGGCUGAAGCUGAAUAACAAAGCUUAGCUAGAGAAAUUGAACUUUUGGGGUAGAAAUGAAUCGACUGAUAACCAGUGCCUCAUAGCCCAGGCAUAAGAAGACAUUUCAACUGGGGAGUUAAGUGGUAGUUAAAUAUCUGGCUUAUCUUUGAAAAAAAAUUUUCACUCUUUAAGGGUUAAGGUAAUAAUAUAUGGAGAGCUGGGCUGGUAUCCCCAUUUUAGGAAAUGAUCUGUAGUAUUAAUCAUAGGCCAUAAUCCCAUUUUGAGAAUUCAUAUCAAAUCCCCUGGUGAGGGGGAGAAGGGACAGAGUUACAUGUCACUGGCUACAAAUUUAGGAAGUGCUUCGGUGUUUGUUGUCUGCAGUGCUUAUCUCUGUGUUCAGCCAGCCCCUCUGGUGUACAUCCAUCUUUUGGUAGAUGUUCGAUAGGAGAGGUUUUCUGCAUUUGAGGAGAUCGGUUUUCACUGCUGCGCCCAGGAGAGGGUGCUCUCUAAGCGUGUACUGCAGACUCAUUUCUGCACGGGAAGCUCACUGUGAACGUCAGAGUGGGGCAUUUCUGUGCAACAUAACACCAUGUAGGUCCUAAUGUACCUCCUGUCACGUCAGUUAGUGUUUGCUCUUAUUUGUCAUAAAACUAGUAUUUACUGCUGCAACGUUAAGGCAAAGCCAGUGUGAUAAUGCAUAGAGAUCAUUAUAGUUCUGCUGGAUCUACUCUUGCUGAGAACUUGGCACUGGGCUUAACGGUUGGGUUGAAUGCAUAUCUGAAGACCAGCUCAAAAAAACUGCUUGGAGUUAGGUUUCAGCGUCUUGCACAUGGUCUGGGUAUUGUAGGUGAUUCGUUGUUCUUGAGGAACUAGUCUCGUUUCAUGUAAGCUAAAAUGCUAUAUAUACGAGGAGAAUAAUGACUUUAAAAACACAAUUAGCUUAGAGAAUAGACCAAUGAAUAACAAUUCCAUUCAGAGACUGGACAUCCAGCCAAUUUGCAAAGUGCCAAAGUCUGAAUCUUCAUGCUGCAUGCUGGAAUUGUCUUUUUUUGAAGUUUGUUCAGUCAGAAGAAGAUACUUUGGAUAAACAGCGUUCUGCAUGUUAAUAAUAUAUAAAUCAUAAAACUAUCUCAGCUCCAGGGCUAGGAAUUUGAAGGUUUGGAGAAUUGACUUCUUAGGGAUGAGAGUAAGUGAUCACUAAAAACCCACGUAAGUUAUGAUUGUCAUUUGUGGGAGGAAAAAGAAGGCAACUUGUGACUAUCACGCAAGAGUCUCAGAAGUCUUUAGGGCUGCCCUAAUCCAUAGAGUGUGCUUCAGCUGUGCCACAAAGCAAAGAGAAAUUUCUAAAGGAUGGAUCUGUUGCCAAGGUAGAUGGUCCUGUUUUGUGAUUGACCCAUUGCCACAAGGUUAGCUGGAUCACUUCGAAUACAAACAGGAAGCAAUUUCUUACCAUAUUGUUUUUCAAAGUGUAAUACCUUCUGUUAUGUUUCUUCACCUUGAACCAAGUACACGUACAAGCCAUAGACCUCCUGAGCAUAUUGAAUAAAUGGAGGACUAAUUCAACUCCAGCAGUGAGGAGAGGCUGGUUUCACUGACCUCUGUGAAACUCACCUAGCUAUCAAAACCAAGACGCUGCUGUUAGAUUCAGGUCCCGGACAUCCUGAAUUUGGGCUGCUUUACUAUUGGUUGCAUCAUCCCACUUCUGCCCAAAGAUAGGUAUUUGAGAAAAUUAAAAUGGUGAAGUCACUUUUUUGUGGUGCCUGUUCCUUCUGCUGACUUCUUUCAAUUGCAAAUAUGGUGGCAACAUAGAUGCAAAGUGUCAGUGCCUCUGACUGUAUUGUUUAUUUCUAAAUCUGUUCCUGUUUAGCUGCUUUUGAGUUUUUUGAUCAAAGAUCUACAAUUUCGAAACACACCAAACACAGCCAUGCUCUAAGACAGGUGCUAUAAUCUAGGCUGAUUUUGCUGAGUGGCUGUCUCAGCCUUUUUGCUUUUCCAUUUGGGGGAAUUUCUUGGCCUUAUUCAAAGCUGCCGGUGUUGCUGAUGUAUGAAUGGAGAGAAAGAUGAUAGAAAUGAAAAUUAUUUGCUCUAUCUUUUCCCUUUCUGCUUUGUUCAUCUAGUUCUUGUGGAAUGAGUCACAAGGAGAGGGCACGUACAGAAGAAGGAGAAAGAACACUUGCAUCAGCUAAGAUUCCAUGAUUUCUAUCAGCUGGGACAACUGUGGCCUCAGCUCCAGUCAUCCUGGAACACACUCUAGAGGUGGCCACCCUGAGCGUCUCCUUGGUGUCCCACAGCUCAGAACUGUUGUUUGAGCUCUGCUAGUUCACUGCAGUGGCAAUGAGCCAGAAGAAUACAUUUAUGUCAUAUCCUUCAGGGAAACACAAACUGCUUAAAAGCUGCCUAAAAUGUACCAUGACAUCACUUGCGGACCUCCCAGAAUUGCCCAGAAGGAGGAAAAGUCAGCAUUCUCAGCCCGCCCCCGGAGUGAUUCCAGGAGAUUCAGACCCUAUAAGGCAGUGAAGCUCUGUGAGCAGCAAAGAUAGAGUUUUGAAAGAUUUCUUGUUCUUGGCAACGUGGGAAUUUCACAAACAGGAAAAACUGCUUUUACUUUUCCUAAAGAGGAACCAUUUAUGCCUAUGGUGCAUUGAUGCCUGGAACUGGGCUUGCUUUAAAGUAGAGCGGAAAUGUAAGAAAUGCUCUUAGCAGAGGACAAGCAGAGCCCACUGGGUGCUCACAAAACAGAGAUGACUUAAUGCUGACUGACAUCUUGAAGCCUGUUGUAAUCCCAUUUUCCCUUCCCAUGAUUCUACAAGAGGAAACAAGAAAGCUUCCUGCAGGGAAAAAAUGGUUCUGCUGUGCAGUUUUAACCUUGCUGGUGUGAAUCCUGAGGAAACAUGCAGCGUGGGUGUGAGAUGAGGGAAACGCUAUCAUUACAGCUGCCAAAAGCAAAACAAGACCUACGAUGUUUCCUAGCUCUUUGUGUAUCAACUCAAGCAGAAUGCAGAAAGAUGUCACAGUGGAGGAGGAUCAACACAACACAUUACUGCUGUGUCAUUACUCAACUCCUGGAGAACACAAUGGAAAACUUCUGAUUAAUGACUUGGAGAGUCGGAGUUAUGUUCAAAGUCCCAAAUGAGAUGAAAUGCCUCCUUUGAAACCCUGUGAAAAUGCUGGAACAUGAUUCUGUCCAUCAGUGGCUCCCUCCCAGAGAUACCACAGGAAACUUUGGAGUGGUCCUCAGACUAUUUUCAUCCAUGGAUUUGACAGCUCACUAAUAUCAUAUCAUUAUGGUGAUGGCCUCUGAGGAGGCUUGAGGACCAGGAGUGGUGUGUCUGCCAAACUGUGGGAAGCCACAGCCCCUUUGGUUAUGCUUUUCAAAUACCCGAAGCCGGUGGAGUGCUUUAUAGCAAAACAGGCAGCUAUAAGAACGUUGUACAUGACAGCACGCUCAAUGAAUGUGCUCAUGAGUCAGAGACCAUCGACUUACCACGGCACCUCUGAGCUGCACCCAGUGCACAUGAUUCAGACUAAAUAAAAGACAAAAGGAUCUAUCGCACACCACUGCCAUCUUCUUAUUCUGAAAAGUGCAAUCGCCCGUAACACACACGGCUAAUGUUUAAAAUAAUGCUUUCAGUAAGGACCAGGACUCCCAGUGACAUCAGAUACGCAAACGAACUUCAGAACCCGGGGCUUUCCCGGUUUCUCGGGCACC